RNAcentral lists this transfer RNA (74 nucleotides) under Candidatus Methanomethylophilaceae archaeon. Its description in RNAcentral is "tRNA-Arg". It matches the Rfam family "tRNA". Rfam says of the family: Transfer RNA (tRNA) molecules are approximately 80 nucleotides in length. The record is from RNAcentral. Lineage: Archaea; Methanobacteriati; Thermoplasmatota; Thermoplasmata; Methanomassiliicoccales; Methanomethylophilaceae.
GGACCCGUAGUAUAGCCUGGAUAGAAUGGGGGCCUCCGGAGCCUCGGACCCGGGUUCGAAUCCCGGCGGGUCCG